CCUACGGGCGGCAGCAGUGAGGAAUAUUGGUCAAUGGGCGAGAGCCUGAACCAGCCAAGUCGCGUGAGGGAGUACUGCCCUAUGGGUUGUAAACCUCUUUUGUCGGGGAGCAAAAGCCGGAAGUGUCCGGCUGUGAGAGUAGCAGAAGAAAAAGCAUCGGCUAACUCCGUGCCAGCAGCCGCGGUAAUACGGAGGAUGCGAGCGUUAUCCGGGUUUAUUGGGGUUAAAGGGUGCGCAGGCGGAUUUUUAAGUCAGCGGUCAAAUCGUGGGGCUCAACCCCAUCCAGCCGUUGAAACUGGGGAUCUAGAGUGUGCGAGAGGUAUGCGGAAUGCGUGGUGUAGCGGUGAAAUGCAUAGAUAUCACGCAGAACCCCGAUUGCGAAGGCAGCAUACCGGUGCACAACUGACGCUCAGGCACGAAAGCGUGGGUAUCGAACAGGAUUAGAUACCCGAGUAGUC
RNAcentral lists this ribosomal RNA (458 nucleotides) under uncultured bacterium. RNAcentral's name for it is "partial 16S ribosomal RNA". It matches the Rfam family "Bacterial small subunit ribosomal RNA", at positions 338 to 795 of the family's 1533-position model. The record is from RNAcentral.